Molecule: long non-coding RNA, 444 nt
Filed under: Olea europaea (common olive)
Lineage: Eukaryota; Viridiplantae; Streptophyta; Magnoliopsida; Lamiales; Oleaceae
Description: long non-coding RNA (OEUR_LNC008788)
Source: RNAcentral
CCUUGGAAUUUGAGGAGAUUAAGAUUGGGAUUGGAUUUACAGAUGUCGAGGAACGACGAGGACUUGAUAUCUGUCGGCGAGAGCAAAUUCAGAGCCAUGGUGUGUCACUCUACUGCCAGUUAAAGAAUCUUACACUGAGUAUUGAAAUUUGAAAAUGGAAGGUUUGUGUUAAUUCAAGAAUAUAAAAUCUUUACAAGUGCAGGAGACGAGACUAAACUUCCGGAGAGAUUUUGGAUGGAUAACAGAUAGUGACGAACUUCAGGGAGAGAGAGAGAGAGAGAUAUAGGAAGAGACAGACAGAGUGAGUUGUCAGAUGUAAGUACUGUGGAUUACUUUGUGUCUCACGAGGAGCAACCUACGAGAAGUUAAAAUCAAGAAAAUAAUGGAUAUAAAUCAAUUUUUCAUCAUUGAUUUAUUUUAUUCUUCGUUGACUUUCUAAUUCGC